Molecule: long non-coding RNA, 1519 nt
Filed under: Nicotiana benthamiana
Lineage: Eukaryota; Viridiplantae; Streptophyta; Magnoliopsida; Solanales; Solanaceae
Description: long non-coding RNA (NBEN_LNC041556)
Source: RNAcentral
UGAGAGUUGUAAUUUUUGUUAAAAAUAAUAAUAUUACUAGAAUGCAUCAACCAAUAGUGCCAUAUAAAUUGAAACUAAGGAAGAAAUAUACAACCUUCAAUCAAACAUGCCUCGAUCUCAUAUUAGGGGGAUCGGCUAUAUGAGUUCUCCAUAUCUAUUCCUCUCUGUUUAGGUCCAUGUGAUUUGAACACUAAACAAUUUGGUUACUAAGACACUGCACAUAAAAAAUGGUUCAUAAAUUGAAAUUAAGGAAGAAAUAUACAACCUUCAAUCAACUAUGCCUUGAUCUCAUAUUAGGGGGAUCACCUAUAUGAGUUCUCCGUAUCUAUUCCUCUCUGUUUAGGUCCAUGUGAUUUGAACACUAAACAAUUUGGUUACUAAGACACUGCACAUAUAAAAUGGUUUACUUAAGGCAAACGACAUGUUUUUGAGGUUCUUUAGAUCUCAUACAUAUCCCUACAAUGACAUGAAAUCUCUUAAUAAUAACCUUGGUAAACAAAAGAUAACAAUAUAUUAAUAUCUGGAUUAUUUGAGGAGACUAGAAAAAAUAUUAUCGUUUCAACGAAAUGGGAGGAGAACUAUGAGGUAUCACUUAUUAGGUUAAAAUCCCAAUGGAAGCAAAAAAAUACAAAGUAAUUUCCUCCCAUCUGCGUAAGCCUGGUGUGUGGAGUUAUUUGAUACUUGUGUUGGUAUGAGGUAGCAACUAGCAAGUACCUCAUAGAAUAGUAGAGGCGCACACCAGAUGCGGAUGCAACCUUCAGUCAGUGGCAGAGGCAGUAUAUCCACGAAGGGGGUUCAAAAAAAAAAUUGUAGCUAGUGGGAAUUGAACCCAUAAUCUUAUGUAGAUUUUGAACCCCCUUGACCACUAAACUACACUUUUUGAUUGUGUUAAGGGUAUUCAAUACUGAAUAUAUAGAGGUAAAAAAUAGAUCUUGCCUUAUAUAUACAGUAUAAUUUUUCGGCGAACCGAACACCCUUGCGCCCCCCUAAAUCCGCCCCUGCCUUCAGAAAUAAUUUCAAUGCAGAAUCAAAUGUAAUAAAUAAUAAGUAUGAGCCCAUAAUUUUAGCAAUAUAAUUAAGAACUUUAAAGAUUGAAAUAUAGAGUUUAAAUUUCGGAUCCGCCGCCCACGCACGCAAGAUGGUCUGAACACCACUUGACCAAAAUUUGCACCCACUAACCAUAAAAGGGAAAACCCAAUUACUUGAGAUAAACACGAAACAUGCUUCGCUGCUAUUUAAUAAAAAUCAUAUUAGCUGUGCAGAUGAUUGACUGAAAUCUAUUACUACUUUCAUUCCAAUUGCAAGAGAACCCGACAAUAAGUUUUGACAAGAAUCUCAUCUUAAUCAUUCCUUAUUCUCUUUGCGUGUCUGUGUGUAUGUGUAUUCCUAAGACAAUUUUUCAGAAAUUGACAUAUAAUAUAGCAAGAGGAGAGAAAGGGAACUUACAAGUGGAUUCGGAGGAACUUCUUCACAGACUAAGGAGAGCGAUUGAAAAAGCUCCGUUAUGAUUUGAAAUGGG